CCUAGUCCAGAGCGGAAGGGUGUCACUGGGAUUGGAAACAGAUGCACGCUUCUGGAGGACGCCGAACAAAGAUAUUUCUUUAUUACAGCGUUUUAUGUUCGUUGUAUUUGUUGCCGACUAAUUUAGCCGACACUUAUUAACUAUUACACUAUUUAAAAUGAACUUGCUGCGUUGAACGCAAUUAGAUGAAUGGUGAUAGAGUCAGACCACGAGAUAAUCUGUUUGACAAACCUUGCUGCACAGGCUCACUGCAGGUUUCAGAAUCUUAUUUGCUGACCAGAUUUUGACAUCUCUCUGGCAUGAGGUUUACAGUGGCACUGCGUGCUAUUGUUUUGGUUCUUCUGCUGGGCUUUACCUGGCUUCUAGCGAAUUCUAUGCUAGGAAGGGAUGGGAACUCCUUUAUGCGGCUGCUAUUUAGUGGUGGACAAGAAGAGCCCACUCCAGAACCACGACCACGCAAGUACAAGUGUGGCCUGUCAGCAUCGUGUCCCCCA
This is a long non-coding RNA of Carassius auratus (goldfish), 494 nucleotides long. RefSeq lists it as uncharacterized. NCBI's taxonomy places the organism in Eukaryota, Metazoa, Chordata, Actinopteri, Cypriniformes, Cyprinidae. The transcript is spliced from 5 exons. The record is from RefSeq and is a predicted model, not a curated record.